Molecule: small nucleolar RNA, 181 nt
Organism: Danio aesculapii
Lineage: Eukaryota; Metazoa; Chordata; Actinopteri; Cypriniformes; Danionidae
Product: small nucleolar RNA SNORA23
Exons: 1
Source: RefSeq, a predicted model, not a curated record
AGUGAAUGGUGUGCGUAGUGUCCGUCUGCGUUUAGUGCCGUCUCCGGUCUGUGUCUUGCAGGCUGUGGGACGGUUCUCACACCGCACUCAUGGCCACAGAGCCACCGGAGAUCAUAGUACUGGCCUAGUGUUGUCUAAAUGACCAUCCACCACUGACCAGCCUCCAUAGUCUCCAACAAAA